UCGGGUCAUCGGCGGCGGCACGCGUCUGCCGUUCUCCGGCGACGGCGUCACGUUGACCACCCGCGCGCUCCGGGGGAUCGUCACCUACGAACCGGGC
RNAcentral lists this transfer RNA (97 nucleotides) under Paracoccus marinus. RNAcentral's name for it is "tRNA-Arg". Lineage: Bacteria; Pseudomonadati; Pseudomonadota; Alphaproteobacteria; Rhodobacterales; Paracoccaceae. The record is from RNAcentral.